UCUACAGGCUUAACACAUGCAAGUCGAGGGGCAGCAUUUCAGUUUGCUUGCAAACUGGAGAUGGCGACCGGCGCACGGGUGAGUAACACGUAUCCAACCUGCCGAUAACUCGGGGAUAGCCUUUCGAAAGAAAGAUUAAUACCCGAUGGUAUAAUCAGACCGCAUGGUCUUGUUAUUAAAGAAUUUCGGUUAUCGAUGGGGAUGCGUUCCAUUAGGCAGUUGGUGAGGUAACGGCUCACCAAACCUUCGAUGGAUAGGGGUUCUGAGAGGAAGGUCCCCCACAUUGGAACUGAGACACGGUCCAAACUCCUACGGGAGGCAGCAGUGAGGAAUAUUGGUCAAUGGGCGCAGGCCUGAACCAGCCAAGUAGCGUGAAGGAUGACUGCCCUAUGGGUUGUAAACUUCUUUUAUAUGGGAAUAAAGUUUUCCACGUGUGGAAUUUUGUAUGUACCAUAUGAAUAAGGAUCGGCUAACUCCGUGCCAGCAGCCGCGGUAAUACGGAGGAUCCGAGCGUUAUCCGGAUUUAUUGGGUUUAAAGGGAGCGUAGGUGGACAGUUAAGUCAGUUGUGAAAGUUUGCGGCUCAACCGUAAAAUUGCAGUUGAUACUGGCUGUCUUGAGUACAGUAGAGGUGGGCGGAAUUCGUGGUGUAGCGGUGAAAUGCUUAGAUAUCACGAAGAACUCCGAUUGCGAAGGCAGCUCACUGGACUGCAACUGACACUGAUGCUCGAAAGUGUGGGUAUCAAACAGGAUUAGAUACCCUGGUAGUCCACACAGUAAACGAUGAAUACUCGCUGUUUGCGAUAUACAGUAAGCGGCCAAGCGAAAGCAUUAAGUAUUCCACCUGGGGAGUACGCCGGCAACGGUGAAACUCAAAGGAAUUGACGGGGGCCCGCACAAGCGGAGGAACAUGUGGUUUAAUUCGAUGAUACGCGAGGAACCUUACCCGGGCUUAAAUUGCAUUUGAAUAUAUUGGAAACAGUAUAGCCGUAAGGCAAAUGUGAAGGUGCUGCAUGGUUGUCGUCAGCUCGUGCCGUGAGGUGUCGGCUUAAGUGCCAUAACGAGCGCAACCCUUAUCUUUAGUUACUAACAGGUCAUGCUGAGGACUCUAGAGAGACUGCCGUCGUAAGAUGUGAGGAAGGUGGGGAUGACGUCAAAUCAGCACGGCCCUUACGUCCGGGGCUACACACGUGUUACAAUGGGGGGUACAGAAGGCAGCUACCUGGUGACAGGAUGCUAAUCCCAAAAGCCUCUCUCAGUUCGGAUCGAAGUCUGCAACCCGACUUCGUGAAGCUGGAUUCGCUAGUAAUCGCGCAUCAGCCAUGGCGCGGUGAAUACGUUCCCGGGCCUUGUACACACCGCCCGUCAAGCCAUGAAAGCCGGGGGUACCUGAAGUACGUAACCGCAAGGAGCGUCCUAGGGUAAAACUGGUAAUUG
This 1435-nucleotide ribosomal RNA is filed under the name uncultured organism. Its description in RNAcentral is "SSU rRNA". It matches the Rfam family "Bacterial small subunit ribosomal RNA". The record is from RNAcentral.